Molecule: ribosomal RNA, 594 nt
Filed under: Ammonia sp. genotype T1
Lineage: Eukaryota; Foraminifera; Rotaliida; Rotaliidae
Description: bacterial SSU rRNA
Rfam family: Eukaryotic small subunit ribosomal RNA (bases 1-464)
Source: RNAcentral
GGGUCCGGACACACUGAGGAUUGACAGAUAUACGUCGUGCGUUGAGCUCUCUCGGGGGCCGAGCGCAUGACUGAAAGAUGCUAGUUCUUUCAUGAUUAUGUGAUAGGUGGUGCAUGGCCGUUCUUAGUUCGUGGAGUGAUCUGUCUGCUUAAUUGCGUAUCAUAAAAAGAGACCUAGUAUACGCGUAAGAUAUCGUUUACGGUUCGUGACCCCCUUCGGGCGUGUGUCGCACGUACGUAUCAUACGCACUGGUCUCCGAUAGCAACGAACGUGACCGUACUCUAUUGUUGCAGCGAAUGUAUGCAUCUUCGGGUGUAUCUACCGCUGCUUAGUGCGUAUGCGUACUUCGGUGCGUGUCGUACAUUAAACUAUAGAGACCGCUGUAUUUUUUUUAAACCAGAGGAAGGAUACGGCAAUAACAGGUCUGUGAUGCCCUCAGAUGUUCCGGGCUGCACACGUGCUACAAUGAUCAUUGCACUGUGCAUCUAACCCAAUGUGCGUGGACGCCACGGUAUGUAUUUAUGCUUCGGCGUAGUAUAUAUCAGUUGGUCGGUCGCGCCGAACCUACUUCGAAAGUAAAAUUUCUCAGUGGGU